AAUCAACGCUGGCGGCGUGCCUAACACAUGCAAGUCGAACGAGAAAGUGGAGCAAUCCAUGAGUACAGUGGCGUACGGGUGAGUAACACGUGACUACCUACCCUCGAGUGGGGAAUAACCUCGGGAAACCGGGGCUAAUACCGCAUAACAUCUACGGAUCAAAUGCGUAAGCAGCUUGAGGAGGGGGUCGCGGCCGAUUAGCUAGUUGGUGAGGUAAUGGCCCACCAAGGCAAUGAUCGGUAGCCGGCCUGAGAGGGCGCACGGCCACACUGGAACUGAAACACGGUCCAGACUCCUACGGGAGGCAGCAGUGGGGAAUUUUGCGCAAUGGGGGAAACCCUGACGCAGCAACGCCGCGUGGAGGAUGAAGCCCCUUGGGGUGUAAACUCCUUUCGAUCGGGACGAUUAU
This 409-nucleotide ribosomal RNA is filed under the name bacterium Ellin640. Its description in RNAcentral is "bacterial SSU rRNA". It matches the Rfam family "Bacterial small subunit ribosomal RNA", at positions 32 to 452 of the family's 1533-position model. Lineage: Bacteria; Pseudomonadati; Acidobacteriota; Terriglobia; Terriglobales; Acidobacteriaceae. The record is from RNAcentral.